Molecule: long non-coding RNA, 258 nt
Filed under: Brassica napus (rape)
Lineage: Eukaryota; Viridiplantae; Streptophyta; Magnoliopsida; Brassicales; Brassicaceae
Description: long non-coding RNA (BNAP_LNC017403)
Source: RNAcentral
AUCCAGGACCAGAAAUGGACCGUGGUAAGGGAAAAGCACCAUGAGGACUGCGGCCAUGGGAAGAUGUGUGGUGAUUGGGUUGAUUCGGAAAAUUGUGUAAUUAUUGUUGCCUAUUGUGCAACUUAUGAACUUAUGUGAUUCUAGUGUGUGAUCUAUUUAUUAGGAUGAUGAAUGAUGUAUGAACCUUGGUUAUUAUCUAUGAAAUAUCUAUUUUCCCUAGUCGAUGUUGGAUGGUUUGAGUGUGAAUGUUGGAACCUC